RNAcentral lists this ribosomal RNA (464 nucleotides) under Acanthamoeba genotype T4. RNAcentral describes it as "SSU rRNA". It matches the Rfam family "Eukaryotic small subunit ribosomal RNA", at positions 739 to 1095 of the family's 1831-position model. Lineage: Eukaryota; Discosea; Longamoebia; Acanthamoebidae. The record is from RNAcentral.
UGGCCCAGAUCGUUUACCGUGAAAAAAUUAGAGUGUUCAAAGCAGGCAGAUCCAAUUUUCUGCCACCGAAUACAUUAGCAUGGGAUAAUGGAAUAGGACCCUGUCCUCCUAUUUUCAGUUGGUUUUGGCAGCGCGAGGACUAGGGUAAUGAUUAAUAGGGAUAGUUGGGGGCAUUAAUAUUUAAUUGUCAGAGGUGAAAUUCUUGGAUUUAUGAAAGAUUAACUUCUGCGAAAGCAUCUGCCAAGGAUGUUUUCAUUAAUCAAGAACGAAAGUUAGGGGAUCGAAGACGAUCAGAUACCGUCGUAGUCUUAACCAUAAACGAUGCCGACCAGCGAUUAGGAGACGUUGAAUACAAAACACCACCAUCGGUGCGGUCGUCCUUGGCGGUUGGUCUUCAAAAGCCAGCGGCGGGGGUGGCUUAGCCCGGUGGCACCGGUGAAUGACUCCCCUAGCAGCUUGUGAGA